GUGGGGAAUAUUGGGCAAUGGGCGAAAGCCUGACCCAGCAACGCCGCGUGAAGGAAGAAGGCUUUCGGGUUGUAAACUUCUUUGACAGGGGAAGAGUAGAAGACGGUACCCUGAAAACAAGCCACGGCUAACUACGUGCCAGCAGCCGCGGUAAUACGUAGGUGGCAAGCGUUGUCCGGAUUUACUGGGUGUAAAGGGCGUGCAGCCGGGCAGACAAGUCAGAUGUGAAAUCCAGAGGCUCAACCUCUGGACUGCAUUUGAAACUGUUUGUCUUGAGUAUCGGAGAGGUAACCGGAAUUCCUAGUGUAGCGGUGAAAUGCGUAGAUAUUCGGAAGAACACCAGUGGCGAAGGCGACACACUGGCUCAUUACUGACGCUGAGGCGCGAAAGCGUGGGGAGCAAACAGGAUUAGAUACCCGAGUAGUCC
This 427-nucleotide ribosomal RNA is filed under the name uncultured bacterium. Its description in RNAcentral is "partial 16S ribosomal RNA". It matches the Rfam family "Bacterial small subunit ribosomal RNA", at positions 354 to 796 of the family's 1533-position model. The record is from RNAcentral.